CCUACGUGGGUCAGCAGUGAGGAAUCUUGGUCAAUGGGCGGAAGCCUGAACCAGCCACGUAGCGUGCAGGAUGACGGCCCUACGGGUUGUAAACUGCUUUUAUACGGGAAUAACGCGCCUUACGUGUAGGGCUUUGCAUGUACCGUAUGAAUAAGGACCGGCUAAUUCCGUGCCAGCAGCCGCGGUAAUACGGAAGGUCCGGGCUUUAUCCGGAUGUAUUGGGUUUAAAGGGAGCGUAGGCCGCAUGUCAAGCGUGCUGUGAAAUGUCCGGGCUCAACCCGGGCCGUGCAGCGCGAACUGGCGUGCUUGAGUCCGCGGAAAGCAGGCGGAAUUCGUCGUGUAGCGGUGAAAUGCUUAGAUAUGACGAAGAACCCCGAUUGCGAAGGCAGCUUGCUGCAGCGGAACUGACGCUGAUGCUCGAAAGCGCGGGUAUCGAACAGGAUUAGAUACCCUUGUAGUC
Molecule: ribosomal RNA, 460 nt
Filed under: uncultured bacterium
Lineage: Bacteria
Description: partial 16S ribosomal RNA
Rfam family: Bacterial small subunit ribosomal RNA
Source: RNAcentral